CUGAAUGAUAGUCGGGCUGAAGACUCUACUUGACUAGCUGAGAGGAGGUGCAUGGCCGUCGUCAGUUCGUACUGUGAAGCAUCCUGUUAAGUCAGGCAACGAGCGAGACCCACGCCAACAGUUGCCAGCUCGUCCUCCGGGAUGGUGGGGACACUGUUGGGACCGCCUCUGCUAAAGAGGAGGAAGGAAUGGGCAACGGUAGGUCAGCAUGCCCCGAAUUAUCUGGGCUACACGCGGGCUACAAUGGGUGGGACAAUGGGUAUCGACACCGAAAGGUGAAGGCAAUCUCCUAAACCCAUCCGUAGUUCGGAUUGUGGGCUGCAACUCGCCCACAUGAAGCUGGAAUCUGUAGUAAUCGUGUCUCAAAAUGGCACGGUGAAUAUGUCCCUGCUCCUU
This 396-nucleotide ribosomal RNA is filed under the name uncultured Methanomicrobiales archaeon. RNAcentral's name for it is "bacterial SSU rRNA". It matches the Rfam family "Archaeal small subunit ribosomal RNA", at positions 943 to 1338 of the family's 1478-position model. The record is from RNAcentral. Lineage: Archaea; Methanobacteriati; Methanobacteriota; Methanomicrobia; Methanomicrobiales.